GAUGAACGCUGGCGGCGUGCCUAAUACAUGCAAGUCGAGCGAACGGACGAGAAGCUUGCUUCUCUGAUGUUAGCGGCGGACGGGUGAGUAACACGUGGAUAACCUACCUAUAAGACUGGGAUAACUUCGGGAAACCGGAGUUAAUCCCGGAAAUUAUUUUAAACGGAAUGGUUCAAAAUUGAAAGAGGGCUUGCCGGUACCUAUAGGAUGGAUCCGCGCUGCAUUAGCUAGUUGGUAAGGUAACGGCUUACCAAGGCAACGAUGCAUAGCCGACCUGAGAGGGUGAUCGGCCACACUGGAACUGAGACACGGUCCAGACUCCUACGGGAGGCAGCAGUAGGGAAUCUUCCGCAAUGGGCGAAAGCCUGACGGAGCAACGCCGCGUGAGUGAUGAAGGUCUUCGGAUCGUAAAACUCUGUUAUUAGGGAAGAACAUAUGUGUAAGUAACUGUGCACAUCUUGACGGUACCUAAUCAGAAAGCCACGGCUAACUACGUG
RNAcentral lists this ribosomal RNA (497 nucleotides) under uncultured bacterium. RNAcentral describes it as "partial 16S ribosomal RNA". It matches the Rfam family "Bacterial small subunit ribosomal RNA", at positions 28 to 507 of the family's 1533-position model. The record is from RNAcentral.